ACCCACUGUGCAUCGAAUCAGGAUACCACCCACAAAAAACCACCACAGCAGCGUGACAUCCAAACAAAACAAAUAACAAACACACAAAAUAGGAAACACACGCUUCCACUAUCACCAAUCACCAAUCACAGCAAUUGCUGACAUCCCAAAAUUGAAACCCACACAACUCAGAUUCCUAGUAUAAAGCUCCCAGAGGAUGAAAGUUCUAACUGUCUCAAUGAAGCCUUCUCGAUUGUCGUUGAUUACAACUUUGCAGUCGCCAUUGACAAGAGGUUGUCUGCUAGUUGGCCGUAAU
Molecule: long non-coding RNA, 295 nt
Filed under: Olea europaea (common olive)
Lineage: Eukaryota; Viridiplantae; Streptophyta; Magnoliopsida; Lamiales; Oleaceae
Description: long non-coding RNA (OEUR_LNC015489)
Source: RNAcentral